CCUACGGGAGGCAGCAGUGAGGAAUAUUGGUCAAUGGCCGGAAGGCUGAACCAGCCAUGCCGCGUGAAGGUCAGUGCCCUAUGGGCGUUAAACUUCUUUUGUGCGGGAGCAAUAAUGGUCACGUGUGGCCAGACGAGAGUACCGUACGAAUAAGCAUCGGCUAACUCCGUGCCAGCAGCCGCGGUAAUACGGGGGAUGCAAGCGUUAUCCGGAUUUAUUGGGUGUAAGGGGUGCGUAGGCUGUGAGGUAAGUCAGCGGUGAAAUGCCACCGCUCAACGGGGUGAAGUGCCAUUGAUACUGCCUGGCUGGAAUGCGGAUGCCGUGGGAGGAAUGUGUGGUGUAGCGGUGAAAUGCAUAGAUAUCACACAGAACACCGAUUGCGAAGGCAUCUCACGAAUCCGCGAUUGACGCUGAUGCACGAAAGCGUGGGUAUCAAACAGGAUUAGAUACCCGUGUAGUC
Molecule: ribosomal RNA, 460 nt
Filed under: uncultured bacterium
Lineage: Bacteria
Description: partial 16S ribosomal RNA
Rfam family: Bacterial small subunit ribosomal RNA
Source: RNAcentral